RNAcentral lists this ribosomal RNA (253 nucleotides) under uncultured bacterium. RNAcentral describes it as "partial 16S ribosomal RNA". It matches the Rfam family "Bacterial small subunit ribosomal RNA", at positions 524 to 776 of the family's 1533-position model. The record is from RNAcentral.
UACAGAGGGGGCAAGCGUUAUUCGGAAUUAUUGGGCGUAAAGGGCGCGUAGGCGGCUUUGCAAGUGACGGGUGAAAUCCCUCGGCUUAACCGAGGAACUGCCUGUCAGACUGCAUGGCUUGAGACCGGGAGAGGUGAGUGGAAUUCCCAGUGUAGCGGUGAAAUGCGUAGAUAUCAGGAGGAAUACCGAUGGCGAAGGCAGGUCUCUGGGCUGAGACUGACGCUCAGGCACGAAAGCGUGGGGAGCAAACAGG